RNAcentral lists this transfer RNA (65 nucleotides) under Rugilus geniculatus. RNAcentral's name for it is "tRNA-Pro". The record is from RNAcentral. Lineage: Eukaryota; Metazoa; Arthropoda; Insecta; Coleoptera; Staphylinidae.
CAAAGGAUAGUUUAUUUAAAAUAUUAAUUUUGGAGAUUAAAGAUAAAAGUAAUUUUUUCCUUUGA